Molecule: ribosomal RNA, 117 nt
Filed under: Lepisosteus oculatus (spotted gar)
Lineage: Eukaryota; Metazoa; Chordata; Actinopteri; Semionotiformes; Lepisosteidae
Source: RNAcentral
GUUAGAAGCCAUAUCACCCUGCAGCUCUCAACUGACUACCCACUGAAAAUAAACAGGGUUGAGCCUGGUCAGUACCUGGAUGUGAGACCUCCUGGGAAGCUAUGGUUGCUGCUGGGA